CUAAGUGAGAACUUUCAAAAAUCCGUCGACUUUAAAAAUCGUGAGGGUUCAAGUCCCUCUAUCCCCA
This 67-nucleotide transfer RNA is filed under the name Atraphaxis spinosa. RNAcentral describes it as "partial tRNA-Leu". Lineage: Eukaryota; Viridiplantae; Streptophyta; Magnoliopsida; Caryophyllales; Polygonaceae. RNAcentral also lists the same sequence under 11 other names. The record is from RNAcentral.